Small nucleolar RNA from Dioscorea cayenensis subsp. rotundata (Guinea yam), 107 nucleotides. The record is from RefSeq and is a predicted model, not a curated record. Lineage: Eukaryota; Viridiplantae; Streptophyta; Magnoliopsida; Dioscoreales; Dioscoreaceae.
AACCCAUGUUGAGGACAUUUCUGCAAGAGCUCCUUGAACCUAUACCAUGUCUCAAAAAGAGACCCCAAUUCCAUUUGCACAAUAGAGGAAAUUUCAUUUCUGAGCUU